UGCAAGUGUAUUACAUGUAGAGAGUUGC
This 28-nucleotide non-coding RNA is filed under the name Bombyx mori (domestic silkworm). The record is from RNAcentral. Lineage: Eukaryota; Metazoa; Arthropoda; Insecta; Lepidoptera; Bombycidae.